This 529-nucleotide ribosomal RNA is filed under the name Sporothrix schenckii. RNAcentral describes it as "eukaryotic LSU rRNA". It matches the Rfam family "Eukaryotic large subunit ribosomal RNA", at positions 68 to 609 of the family's 3401-position model. The record is from RNAcentral. Lineage: Eukaryota; Fungi; Ascomycota; Sordariomycetes; Ophiostomatales; Ophiostomataceae.
ACAGGGAUUGCCCCAGUAACGGCGAGUGAAGCGGCAACAGCUCAAAUUUGAAAUCUGGCCCCCCGGCCCGAGUUGUAAUUUGGAGAGGAUGCUUCUGGCGCGGCGCCGUCCGAGUUCCUUGGAACAGGACGCCACAGAGGGUGAGAGCCCCGUACGGACGGACGCCUAGCCUCUACGAAGCUCCUUCGACGAGUCGAGUAGUUUGGGAAUGCUGCUCAAAAUGGGAGGUAAAUUUCUUCUAAAGCUAAAUACCGGCCAGAGACCGAUAGCGCACAAGUAGAGUGAUCGAAAGAUGAAAAGCACUUUGAAAAGAGGGUUAAAAAGUACGUGAAAUUGUUGAAAGGGAAGCGCCUGUGACCAGACUUGCGCCCCGCGGACCACCCGGCGUUCUCGCCGGUGCACUCUGCGGUGCGCAGGCCAGCAUCGGUUCUCCCAGGGGGACAAAGGCCGCGGGAACGUAGCUCCUUCGGGAGUGUUAUAGCCCGCGGCGGCAUGCCCCUGGGGGGACCGAGGACCGCGCUUCGGCAAG